This 483-nucleotide ribosomal RNA is filed under the name Triticum aestivum (bread wheat). RNAcentral describes it as "partial small subunit ribosomal RNA". Lineage: Eukaryota; Viridiplantae; Streptophyta; Magnoliopsida; Poales; Poaceae. The record is from RNAcentral.
AUGCAACCUUUCAAGGUUCUUGUGUGGAAUGUGCGUGGCUUGAACGCUCCGGCGCGCCAUAAUGCAGUCUUCCAGGUGUGUCUAGCGGCCAAUCCAGGCAUUGUUUGCCCACAGGAGACGAAACUCGAAAAUGUAUCUGCGGCCAUUGUCACCCAAUGUUUGGGCAAUAGAUUUGACCAGUUUUUCUACCUUCCGGCUUCGGGCACGCGAGGCGGCAUCCUCUUGGCUUGGGACCCCCUCAUCGUGCAACUUUCUAACCCCCAUUACACCGAAAACACUGUCACGACUCUUAUUAAGCCUUUAGGCUCCUCUGCCCAGUGGUGGCUCACCAGGGUCUACGGACCACACCAACAUGAGCACAAGGAUGAGUUUCUACAGGAGCUAGCAGAGAUUCGAUACCUGCACGCCGGACCAUGGGCCGCUUUGGGCGACUUCAACCUAAUUGUGAACCCAGAAGACAAGAGCAACAACUCGAUUAACUGA